Molecule: ribosomal RNA, 473 nt
Filed under: uncultured bacterium
Lineage: Bacteria
Description: bacterial SSU rRNA
Rfam family: Bacterial small subunit ribosomal RNA
Source: RNAcentral
AGGACGAACGCUGGCGGCGUGCUUCAUACAUGCAAGUCGAACGAUAAGGUCUCUUCGGAGAUACAUAAGCGGCGGACGGGUGAGUAAAAUGUAGAGAAUCUGCCCUUAAGCGGGGGACAACAGAGGGAAACUUCUGCUAAUACCCCAUAUGAGCGUACCUGAAAUGGUAUUCUUGAAAACUCCGGUGCUUAAGGAUGAGUCUGCAUCUGAUUAGCUAGUUGGGGGUGUAAUGGACCACCAAGGCGACGAUCAGUAGCUGGUUUGAGAGGAUGAUCAGCCACAAUGGGACUGAGACACGGCCCAUACUCCUACGGGAGGCAGCAGUAGGGAAUUUUGCGCAAUGGGGGAAACCCUGAACCGCAGCAACGCCGCGUGACCGAUGAAGCCCUUCGGGGUGUAAAGGUCUGUCAGUGGGGACGAAACUUGACGGUACCCACAGAGGAAGCAUCGGCUAACUCCGUGCCAGCCGCCGC